CACAAAGACUAUGCAAUCUAUUUGGCCAACU
This 31-nucleotide non-coding RNA is filed under the name Mus musculus (house mouse). The record is from RNAcentral. Lineage: Eukaryota; Metazoa; Chordata; Mammalia; Rodentia; Muridae.